GACGAACGCUGGCGGCGUGCCUAAUACAUGCAAGUAGAACGCACAGUUUAUACCGUAGCUUGCUACACCAUAGACUGUGAGUUGCGAACGGGUGAGUAACGCGUAGGUAACCUGCCUGGUAGCGGGGGAUGACUAUUGGAAACGAUAGCUAAUACCGCAUAAUAUUGAUUAUUGCAUGAUAAUUGAUUGAAAGAUGCUAUUGCAUCACUACCAGAUGGACCUGCGUUGUAUUAGCUAGUAGGUGAGGUAACGGCUCACCUAGGCGACGAUACAUAGCCGACCUGAGAGGGUGAUCGGCCACACUGGGACUGAGACACGGCCCAGACUCCUACGGGAGGCAGCAGUAGGGAAUCUUCGGCAAUGGACGAAAGUCUGACCGAGCAACGCCGCGUGAGUGAAGAAGGUCUUCGGAUCGUAAAGCUCUGUUGUAAGAGAAGAACGGGUGUGAGAGUGGAAAGUUCACACUGUGACGGUAUCUUACCAGAAAGGGACGGCUAACUACGUG
This 505-nucleotide ribosomal RNA is filed under the name uncultured bacterium. Its description in RNAcentral is "partial 16S ribosomal RNA". It matches the Rfam family "Bacterial small subunit ribosomal RNA", at positions 28 to 507 of the family's 1533-position model. The record is from RNAcentral.